AUUUCAAUAGUUUAAUUGUAAAAUAUAACUUUGAAGAAGUUAAGANUUUUUGAAAUG
This 57-nucleotide transfer RNA is filed under the name Bunostomum phlebotomum (cattle hookworm). Its description in RNAcentral is "tRNA-Phe". Lineage: Eukaryota; Metazoa; Nematoda; Chromadorea; Rhabditida; Ancylostomatidae. The record is from RNAcentral.